GUGAACGCUGGCGGUAGGCCUAACACAUGCAAGUCGCACGGCAGCACAGUAAGAGCUUGCUCUUACGGGUGGCGAGUGGCGGACGGGUGAGGAAUACAUCGGAAUCUACUUUUUCGUGGGGGAUAACGUAGGGAAACUUACGCUAAUACCGCAUACGACCUACGGGUGAAAGCAGGGGAUCUUCGGACCUUGCGCGAUUGAAUGAGCCGAUGUCGGAUUAGCUAGUUGGCGGGGUAAAGGCCCACCAUGGCGACGAUCCGUAGCUGGUCUGAGAGGAUGAUCAGCCACACUGGAACUGAGACACGGUCCAGACUCCUACGGGAGGCAGCAGUGGGGAAUAUUGGACAAUGGGCGCAAGCCUGAUCCAGCCAUACCGCGUGGGUGAAGAAGGCCUUCGGGUUGUAAAGCCCUUUUGUUGGGAAAGAAAAGCAGCAGGUUAAUACCCCGCUGUUCUGACGGUACCCAAAGAAUAAGCACCGGCUAACUUCGUG
This 491-nucleotide ribosomal RNA is filed under the name uncultured bacterium. Its description in RNAcentral is "partial 16S ribosomal RNA". It matches the Rfam family "Bacterial small subunit ribosomal RNA", at positions 29 to 507 of the family's 1533-position model. The record is from RNAcentral.